Molecule: long non-coding RNA, 1170 nt
Filed under: Cyanistes caeruleus (blue tit)
Lineage: Eukaryota; Metazoa; Chordata; Aves; Passeriformes; Paridae
Description: lncRNA (ENSCCEG00000013494.1)
Source: RNAcentral
GGGGUGUGAGGGCCCGGGGAUGUACAGGGGUCCAGGGUGAGGGGCCCGGGGAUGUACAGGGGUCCAGGGGUGAGGGGCCCGGGGGUGCGCGGGGUCCGGCAGGGGCCCGCAGUGGCACCUGCUGUCGGGGCCGGGCAGCGCCGGGGUCUAAACGCCAUUUGCCAGCAUUCCGGGACCCUUUAGCACAGUCGCCCCACCACGCUCUGAUGGGAUUUCAGCUGGAUUGCGACCCCUCCCAGUGGGAGUUCCGCCUCCCUGAGCACCUGGCCCGCUAAGCGAAGGGACAAAUUUCUGCAGAGACACCUUCCCAGAGGCUCAGCAGACAGCUGUGCAGCACUCACUGGGAUGUCUGCGUGGAGACCUCAUUCAGGUCAGAGAACAGCUGUAGCUUGAGGAGAGUUUACUUCCCUAGCCUGACCAUCUUCAGAGUAUCUCUGCAGUUAUAAAAAGGAAAGAUUUUUCCUUUGCAGUUUUUACUUAUUCUACUCAUGCUGCAAGAGUGACCUCAUGAAAAAAAGAGUGUUUCUUAGUGCUAGAUAUAGCACUCAUUUUAUAACAAGUAUUGGAAGAUAGCACUAACAGGCUUCAGUCAUUUCUGAUGGAUUUUGGAUCCUGACAGAAAGUCUGUUACUGGUUCUCUUUCCAGAUAAGCUAUUCAUAGCCAGGGCUCCCACGGCAGGUCCUGAGCCCACUUAGGACAGGCUGCUCCUUGUGGUGGUGGCCAGCCCCAGCUGUUACAUUACCAUGAGUCCAUGACUGCAUUGUUUAAUAAUUUUGCUUUUGUCUUCCUUUGCAGAACUGUUAAAACCAGCAGACAUUCAGGCAACCAGACCAAGACUGGGAAUGCUAAAUGUUGCACACUCAAAACCAUAUGAGCAAAGCAUUUGUUUUCCCUCAAACCUAGGGAACAGCCUACUAAUAAAGGAAUCCCAAAGUGCAGCACAGCGAGAGCUGCUGAGCAUCUUGUCAGCGGUGAGGUGCCUGUGUGCCGCAUGGCGAGGGGAUAGCUCUGCAGGGAACGAUGGGAGGGUGAGCAUCCCCCCUCCUCAUGCCCAUGUGCCAUGGGGCUGGGGGCUAAAUCUCCCAUGUCCUGGCUCAGCCUGGCCUGCUGGCACAUACCUCCCGGCACCUGAAGUGUGUAGGUGCCCUCCAGCACGGCUGCCAGUGUGA